Molecule: ribosomal RNA, 460 nt
Filed under: uncultured bacterium
Lineage: Bacteria
Description: partial 16S ribosomal RNA
Rfam family: Bacterial small subunit ribosomal RNA
Source: RNAcentral
CCUACGGGUGGCAGCAGUGAGGAAUAUUGGUCAAUGGGCGGGAGCCUGAACCACCCAAGUCGCGUGAGGGAAGACGGUCCUACGGAUUGUAAACCUCUUUUGCCGGGGAGCAACGGGGUCCUUGCGAGGGCCCGAUGAGAGUACCCGGAGAAAAAGCAUCGGCUAACUCCGUGCCAGCAGCCGCGGUAAUACGGAGGAUGCGAGCGUUAUCCGGAUUUAUUGGGUUUAAAGGGUGCGUAGGCGGAUCGUUAAGUCAGUGGUCAAAUUGAGGGGCUCAACCCCUUCCCGCCAUUGAAACUGGCGCUCUUGAGUGGAAGAGAAGUAUGCGGAAUGCGUGGUGUAGCGGUGAAAUGCAUAGAUAUCACGCAGAACCCCGAUUGCGAAGGCAGCAUGCCGGCUUCCGACUGACGCUGAAGCACGAAAGCGUGGGGAUCGAACAGGAUUAGAUACCCCUGUAGUC